GACGAACGCUGGCGGCGUGCUUAACACAUGCAAGUCGAACGGACAGGCCCUGCUUUUGUGGGGUGCUCGAGUGGCGAACGGGUGAGUAACACGUGAGUAACCUGCCCUUGACUUUGGGAUAACUUCAGGAAACUGGGGCUCAUACCGGAUAGGAGCUCCUGCUGCAUGGUGGGGGUUGGAAAGUUUCGGCGGUUGGGGAUGGACUCGCGGCUUAUCCGCUUGUUGGUGGGGUAGUGGCUUACCAAGGCUUUGACGGGUAGCCGGCCUGAGAGGGUGACCGGCGACAUGGGGCCUAAGAUACGGCCCAGACGCCUACGGGAGGCAGCAGGGGGGAAUAUGGCACAAUGGGCGGAAGCCUGAUGCAGCAACGCCGCGUGCGGAAUGGCGGCCUACGGGGUGUAAACCGCUUUCGCCUGUGACGAAGCGUGAGUGACGGUAAUGGGUAAAGAAGCACCGGCUAACUACGUG
This 468-nucleotide ribosomal RNA is filed under the name uncultured bacterium. RNAcentral describes it as "partial 16S ribosomal RNA". It matches the Rfam family "Bacterial small subunit ribosomal RNA", at positions 28 to 507 of the family's 1533-position model. The record is from RNAcentral.